CAAAAAGUAGCUUAUAAAGCACUCAGCUUACACCUGAGAGAUGCCCGCCAAGGGCCUUUUUGC
This 63-nucleotide transfer RNA is filed under the name Bipes canaliculatus. RNAcentral describes it as "tRNA-Val". The record is from RNAcentral. Lineage: Eukaryota; Metazoa; Chordata; Lepidosauria; Squamata; Bipedidae.